RNAcentral lists this ribosomal RNA (473 nucleotides) under uncultured bacterium. Its description in RNAcentral is "partial 16S ribosomal RNA". It matches the Rfam family "Bacterial small subunit ribosomal RNA", at positions 28 to 507 of the family's 1533-position model. The record is from RNAcentral.
GAUGAACGCUAGCGGCAGGCCUAAUACAUGCAAGUCGAACGGGCGGUAGCAAUACCGCUAGUGGCGCACGGGUGCGUAACGCGUAACCAACCUGCCCAGAUCUGGGGGAUAGCCCGCCGAAAGGCGGAUUAAUACCGCAUAAACCCACAGUGUGGCAUCACAUAAUGGGUAAAGAUUUAUCGGAUCUGGAUGGGGUUGCGUAGCAUUAGCUAGUUGGCGGGGUAAUGGCCCACCAAGGCGACGAUGCUUAGGGGACCUGAGAGGGUGAUCCCCCACACUGGCACUGAGAUACGGGCCAGACUCCUACGGGAGGCAGCAGUAGGGAAUAUUGGGCAAUGGGCGAGAGCCUGACCCAGCCAGGCCGCGUGCCGGAUGAAGGCCUUCUGGGUUGUAAACGGCUUUUCUCAGGGAAGAAAACGGGGAUGCGUCCUCAACUGACGGUACCUGAGGAAUAAGCACCGGCUAACUCCGUG